Molecule: ribosomal RNA, 253 nt
Filed under: uncultured bacterium
Lineage: Bacteria
Description: partial 16S ribosomal RNA
Rfam family: Bacterial small subunit ribosomal RNA
Source: RNAcentral
UACGAAGGGGGCGAGCGUUGUUCGGAUUUACUGGGCGUAAAGGGCGCGCAGGCGGCUUUGUUUGUCAGGCGUGAAAGCCCCGGGCUUAACCUGGGAACUGCGUUUGAUACGGCAGGGCUAGAGUUCGGGAGAGGAGAGUGGAAUUCCCAGUGUAGAGGUGAAAUUCGUAGAUAUCGGGAGGAACACCGGUGGCGAAGGCGGCGACCUGGGUGGAUACUGACGCUGAGGCGCGAAAGCGUGGGGAGCAAACAGG